AAAGAAAUAUCUACUUAAGUGCUUCCAAAACACACACAAUAUGAAAGCGGAGAGUAUUUGAUUAUUUGUUCAGGGAAAUGGAGUCCUAUUUCUUAUUACCAUUUAUCGUCAGUAGUUCUUUGAUUUCAAGAGGCUUAUCGACUUUACGUUGAAAGAGAGAAACAAUUGCAUAAACAGAUGCCUGAUACUCUUGCCUACCACAAAGCUGAAUUGGCACUGCAUCCUUAAGGUCCUUCGUGUUGCACAUGGAAAUCCACACAAAAUUCAUUCAGCAGAUGAUAAGUCCAAAAUAGCAAAAAGUGGAUUUGCGUGUCUGUGCUUCCUCCCUGGGGAGACCACUGAUUUGUUUGCCAGGGGAUUAACCAAGAUUGGAGGCAGAUUAAACCUGGAGACACU
Long non-coding RNA from Drosophila serrata, 396 nucleotides. NCBI's taxonomy places the organism in Eukaryota, Metazoa, Arthropoda, Insecta, Diptera, Drosophilidae. The record is from RefSeq and is a predicted model, not a curated record.